GAUGAACGCUAGCUACAGGCUUAACACAUGCAAGUCGAGGGGCAGCGGUAUCGAAAGCUUGCUUUCGGUAGCCGGCGACCGGCGCACGGGUGAGUAACGCGUAUCGAACCUGCCUCAUACUCGGGAAUAGCCUUGCGAAAGUAAGAUUAAUGCCCGGUGUUUUCAGAGUCCCGCAUGAGGCUUUGAACAAAGAUUUAUCGGUAUGAGAUGGCGAUGCGUCCCAUUAGCUUGUUGGCGGGGUAACGGCCCACCAAGGCAUCGAUGGGUAGGGGUUCUGAGAGGAAGUGCCCCCACAUUGGAACUGAGACACGGUCCAAACUCCUACGGGAGGCAGCAGUGAGGAAUAUUGGUCAAUGGGCGGAAGCCUGAACCAGCCAAGUAGCGUGCAGGAAGACGGCUCUCCGGGUUGUAAACUGCUUUUAGUUGGGAAUAAAACGGGGCUCGUGAGCCCCCUUGCAUGUACCAUCAGAAAAAGGACCGGCUAAUUCCGUG
This 492-nucleotide ribosomal RNA is filed under the name uncultured bacterium. RNAcentral describes it as "partial 16S ribosomal RNA". It matches the Rfam family "Bacterial small subunit ribosomal RNA", at positions 28 to 507 of the family's 1533-position model. The record is from RNAcentral.